Amblyraja radiata (thorny skate) is the source of this 175-nucleotide long non-coding RNA. RefSeq lists it as uncharacterized. The record is from RefSeq and is a predicted model, not a curated record. Lineage: Eukaryota; Metazoa; Chordata; Chondrichthyes; Rajiformes; Rajidae. The transcript is spliced from 3 exons.
UACACAGCCUUCUGUGGCAAAGAAUUCCACAGAUUCACCACCCUCUGACUGAAGAAAUUCCUCCUCAUCUCCUUCUUAAAGGAAUGUCCAUUCAUUCUGAAGCUGUGACCUCUAGUGCAAGACCCUCCCACUAGUGGAAACAUCCUCUCCACAUCCACUCGAUCAAGGCCUUUCA